UACGGAGGGUGCAAGCAUUAAUCGGAUUUAUUGGGCGUAAAGGGCGCGUAGGCGGGAAUGUAAGUCAGAUGUGAAAUCCCUGGGCUCAACCCAGGAACUGCAUUUGAAACUACAUUUCUAGAGGGUAGGCGGAGAAAAUGGAAUUCCACAUGUAGCGGUGAAAUGCGUAGAUAUGUGGAGGAACACCAGUGGCGAAGGCGGUUUUCUAGCUUACUCCUGACGCUGAGGCGCGAAAGCAAGGGGAUCAAACAGG
This 253-nucleotide ribosomal RNA is filed under the name uncultured bacterium. Its description in RNAcentral is "partial 16S ribosomal RNA". It matches the Rfam family "Bacterial small subunit ribosomal RNA", at positions 524 to 776 of the family's 1533-position model. The record is from RNAcentral.